RNAcentral lists this ribosomal RNA (439 nucleotides) under uncultured bacterium. RNAcentral describes it as "partial 16S ribosomal RNA". It matches the Rfam family "Bacterial small subunit ribosomal RNA", at positions 339 to 795 of the family's 1533-position model. The record is from RNAcentral.
CUACGGGGGGCACCAGUGGGGAAUAUUGCACAAUGGAGGAAACUCUGAUGCAGCAACGCCGCGUGGAGGAUGACACUUUUCGGAGCGUAAACUCCUUUUAUAUAGGAAGAAGAUGACGGUACUAUAUGAAUAAGCGCCGGCUAACUCCGUGCCAGCAGCCGCGGUAAUACGGAGGGCGCAAGCGUUACUCGGAAUCACUGGGCGUAAAGAGCGUGUAGGCGGAUUAAAAAGUCAGAAGUGAAAUCCUAUAGCUUAACUAUAGAACUGCUUCUGAAACUCUUAAUCUAGAAUAUGGGAGAGGUAGAUGGAAUUUCUGGUGUAGGGGUAAAAUCCGUAGAGAUCAGAAGGAAUACCGAUUGCGAAGGCGAUCUACUAGAACAUUAUUGACGCUGAGACGCGAAAGCGUGAGGAGCAAACAGGAUUAGAUACCCGGGUAGUC